Molecule: ribosomal RNA, 447 nt
Filed under: Triticum aestivum (bread wheat)
Lineage: Eukaryota; Viridiplantae; Streptophyta; Magnoliopsida; Poales; Poaceae
Description: partial small subunit ribosomal RNA
Source: RNAcentral
GCAGCUUGGCCAAUUACACGGAAUUCGCAAUUAUUAUAUUUCCUGAUGCUCGCAAUGUAUAGUGGUCAAAUAGGAUUAUUUUCUUCGCGAGACCUUUUAAUUUUUAUCAUGUGGGAGUUAGAAUUAAUUCCUAUUUACUUACUUUUAUCCAUGUGGGGGGGGAAGAGGUGUCUAUAUUCAGCUACAGAGUUUAUUUUGUAUACUGCAGGUGGUUCCAUAUUUUUCUUAAUCAGAGUUCUGGGUAUGGGCUUAUAUGGUUCCAAUGAACCAGGAUUAGAUUUGGAAAGAUUAAUUAAUCAAUCAUACCCUGCAACCUUGGAAAUACUUUUAUAUUUUGGCUUCCUUAUUGCUUAUGCUGUCAAAUUGCCGAUUAUACCCCUACAUAUGUGGCUACCAGAUACCCAUGGGGAAGCACAUUAUAGUAAAUCACGAAUUACAAAUAGCUGA